This 917-nucleotide ribosomal RNA is filed under the name Burkholderia sp. Lor67. Its description in RNAcentral is "bacterial SSU rRNA". It matches the Rfam family "Bacterial small subunit ribosomal RNA", at positions 60 to 973 of the family's 1533-position model. The record is from RNAcentral. Lineage: Bacteria; Pseudomonadati; Pseudomonadota; Betaproteobacteria; Burkholderiales; Burkholderiaceae.
AGUCGAACGGCAGCACGGGGGCAACCCUGGUGGCGAGUGGCGAACGGGUGAGUAAUACAUCGGAACGUGUCCUGUAGUGGGGGAUAGCCCGGCGAAAGCCGGAUUAAUACCGCAUACGCUCUGCGGAGGAAAGCGGGGGAUCUUAGGACCUCGCGCUACAGGGGCGGCCGAUGGCAGAUUAGCUAGUUGGUGGGGUAAAGGCCUACCAAGGCGACGAUCUGUAGCUGGUCUGAGAGGACGACCAGCCACACUGGGACUGAGACACGGCCCAGACUCCUACGGGAGGCAGCAGUGGGGAAUUUUGGACAAUGGGGGCAACCCUGAUCCAGCAAUGCCGCGUGUGUGAAGAAGGCCUUCGGGUUGUAAAGCACUUUUGUCCGGAAAGAAAACCUCUGCCCUAAUACGGUGGGGGGAUGACGGUACCGGAAGAAUAAGCACCGGCUAACUACGUGCCAGCAGCCGCGGUAAUACGUAGGGUGCAAGCGUUAAUCGGAAUUACUGGGCGUAAAGCGUGCGCAGGCGGUUCGCUAAGACAGAUGUGAAAUCCCCGGGCUUAACCUGGGAACUGCAUUUGUGACUGGCGGGCUAGAGUAUGGCAGAGGGGGGUAGAAUUCCACGUGUAGCAGUGAAAUGCGUAGAGAUGUGGAGGAAUACCGAUGGCGAAGGCAGCCCCCUGGGCCAAUACUGACGCUCAUGCACGAAAGCGUGGGGAGCAAACAGGAUUAGAUACCCUGGUAGUCCACGCCCUAAACGAUGUCAACUAGUUGUCGGGCCUUCAUUGGCUUGGUAACGUAGCUAACGCGUGAAGUUGACCGCCUGGGGAGUACGGUCGCAAGAUUAAAACUCAAAGGAAUUGACGGGGACCCGCACAAGCGGUGGAUGAUGUGGAUUAAUUCGAUGCAACGCGAAAAACCUUA